CGUAGGGGGCGUAGCGUUGUCCGGAAUCAUUGGGCGUAAAGCGCGUGUAGGCGGCCCGGUAAGUCCGCUGUGAAAGUCGGGGGCUCAACCCUCGAAAGCCGGCGGAUACUCGUCGGGCUCGAGUACGGAAGAGGCGAGUGGAAUUCCUGGUGUAGCGGUGAAAUGCGCAGAUAUCAGGAGGAACACCAAUUGCGGAGGCAGCUCGCUGGGACGUAACUGACGCUGAGACGCGAAAGCGUGGGGAGCAAACAGGAUUAGAUACCCUGGUAGUCCACGCUGUAAACGAUGGGCACGUAGGUGUGGGGGGUGUCGACUCCCUCCGUGCCGAAGCUAACGCAUUAAGUGCCCCGCCUGGGGAGUACGGCCGCAAGGCUA
RNAcentral lists this ribosomal RNA (375 nucleotides) under uncultured organism. RNAcentral describes it as "bacterial SSU rRNA". It matches the Rfam family "Bacterial small subunit ribosomal RNA", at positions 526 to 896 of the family's 1533-position model. The record is from RNAcentral.